Molecule: long non-coding RNA, 344 nt
Organism: Monodelphis domestica (gray short-tailed opossum)
Lineage: Eukaryota; Metazoa; Chordata; Mammalia; Didelphimorphia; Didelphidae
Source: RefSeq, a predicted model, not a curated record
CAAAAGGUAUUCUGUGGCUGAAGACAGUGUUGUGAGGGGUGGCCUAUGUGUUGCCCUCAGAAUAUGUUCUCCAAAAGCCUCCUGGCCAAGCUGACAAGUGUAUCCUUCCUGGAAAGUUCCCACCACAACACCUGCCCCCCCUCUCCCCAAGCUGUGCCCCUGAGUAUGUUCCAGGAUUCUACAGUCCUACACUAGAGCUGAAGAGUGGAAAACUGAACUCCUGCAAAGAACUAUUUCAAUGACCGACUGCAAUAAAGUUAGCCAGUUUCACAGAGAAACUGCCAUCAACGUGCUGUAGAGAAGAAAAGAUCUUUAAUCAGAUAAACUUACAUACUCAAGGUCAA